GAUGAACGCUAGUUACAGGCUUAACACAUGCAAGUCGAGGGGUAACGAGAGGAAAGCUUGCUUUCCUUGUCGACGACCGGCGCACGGGUGAGUAACGCGUAUCCAACCUGCCCCCAACUAGGGAAUAACCUUGCGAAAGUAAGACUAAUACCCUAUAAUUUUCUCAGAUGUCAUCUGACGAGGAAUAAAGAUUUAUCGGUUGUGGAUGGGGAUGCGUCUGAUUAGCUUGUUGGCGGGGUAACGGCCCACCAAGGCAACGAUCAGUAGGGGUUCUGAGAGGAAGGUCCCCCACAUUGGAACUGAGACACGGGCCAAACUCCUACGGGAGGCAGCAGUGAGGAAUAUUGGUCAAUGGGCGGAAGCCUGAACCAGCCAAGUAGCGUGCAGGAUGACGGCCCUAUGGGUUGUAAACUGCUUUUAUACAGGAAUAAAGUUAGCCACGUGUGGUUAUUUGUAGGUACUGUAUGAAUAAGGACCGGCUAAUUCCGUGCCAGCCGCCGCAGUAA
RNAcentral lists this ribosomal RNA (506 nucleotides) under uncultured bacterium. RNAcentral's name for it is "partial 16S ribosomal RNA". It matches the Rfam family "Bacterial small subunit ribosomal RNA", at positions 28 to 523 of the family's 1533-position model. The record is from RNAcentral.